This 454-nucleotide ribosomal RNA is filed under the name Peptostreptococcus stomatis. RNAcentral describes it as "bacterial SSU rRNA". It matches the Rfam family "Bacterial small subunit ribosomal RNA", at positions 28 to 449 of the family's 1533-position model. Lineage: Bacteria; Bacillati; Bacillota; Clostridia; Peptostreptococcales; Peptostreptococcaceae. The record is from RNAcentral.
GAUGAACGCUGGCGGCGUGCCUAACACAUGCAAGUCGAGCGAGGGUUUGCUCAGUAUUGAGUAUUCUAAGACUAGAAUGUUCAAUUCUGAGCAAAACCAAGCGGCGGACGGGUGAGUAACGCGUGGGUAACCUGCCCUAUACACAUGGAUAACAUACUGAAAAGUUUACUAAUACAUGAUAAUAUAUAUUUGCGGCAUCGCAGAUAUAUCAAAGUGUUAGCGGUAUAGGAUGGACCCGCGUCUGAUUAGCUAGUUGGUGAGAUAACUGCCCACCAAGGCGACGAUCAGUAGCCGACCUGAGAGGGUGAUCGGCCACAUUGGAACUGAGACACGGUCCAAACUCCUACGGGAGGCAGCAGUGGGGAAUAUUGCACAAUGGGCGAAAGCCUGAUGCAGCAACGCCGCGUGAACGAUGAAGGUCUUCGGAUCGUAAAGUUCUGUUGCAGGGGAAGAU